GCGCUUGUGAUUCUCCUUUCCCACGGCCUCCCUUUCCCCAGCUGUUUCUUGGGAGCUAAGUGGGCCUGAGGAGACUCAGAGCCCUCUUCCCCCACUUCCAUCUUCCACAGCUGGCUGGAGGAGACACUGCCGCUCUGGGGCUCCCACCUGCUCACCGUGGUGCGGCCCAGCUUGCAGCUGGCCUGGGCUCACACCAAUGCCACAGUCAGCUUCCUUUCUGCCCACUGUGCCUCUCACCUUGCGUGGUUUGGUGACAGUCUCACCAGUCUCUCUCAGAGGGUAAGUCAGAGACAGGGAGUCAAAUAAGGGGCUGGUUUUCCCAGGAGCAGAAUCCUGGGAAAGGAGCAGCACUGUGUGGCCUGAGUCUUUAGGGCCAGGAUGCAGUUCCCUGGAUACUCUGACCCCAUCCAUUCUCCAUGGUCCAGCUACAGAUCCAGCUCCCCGAUUCCGUGAAUCAGCUACUCUGCUAUCUGAGAGAGCUGCCCCUGCUUUUCCACCAGAAUGUGCUGCUGCCACUGUGGCACCUCUUGCUUGAGGCCCUGGCCCGGGCCCAGGAGCACUGCCAUGAGGCAUGCAGAGGUGAGGUGACCUGGGACUGCAUGAAGACACAGCUCAGUGAGGCUGUCCACUGGACCUGGCUUUGCCUACAGGACAUUACAGUGGCUUUCUUGGACUGGGCACUUGCCCUGAUAUCCCAGCAGUAGGCCCUGCCUUCCUGGCCACUGAUUUCUGCAUGGGUAGACCAUCCAAGACUGCAGCGGGUAGAAGGUGGCAGUUCUUCAUGGCAGUCUUUUUAACUUGGUGCCUGAGUUCUCUCCUAGGCAAGUGGCCAGUUGCCUCCACCUCAGUUCUUCCAUCUUUGGUGGGGACAGGGCCCAGCAGCAUCUCAGCCUCCUACCC
Molecule: small RNA, 900 nt
Filed under: Pan troglodytes (chimpanzee)
Lineage: Eukaryota; Metazoa; Chordata; Mammalia; Primates; Hominidae
Description: retained intron
Source: RNAcentral